GACGGGUGAGUAAUGCCUAGGAAUCUGCCUGGUAGUGGGGGACAACGUUUCGAAAGGAACGCUAAUACCGCAUACGUCCUACGGGAGAAAGUGGGGGAUCUUCGGACCUCACGCUAUCAGAUGAGCCUAGGUCGGAUUAGCUAGUUGGUGAGGUAAAGGCUCACCAAGGCGACGAUCCGUAACUGGUCUGAGAGGAUGAUCAGUCACACUGGAACUGAGACACGGUCCAGACUCCUACGGGAGGCAGCAGUGGGGAAUAUUGGACAAUGGGCGAAAGCCUGAUCCAGCCAUGCCGCGUGUGUGAAGAAGGUCUUCGGAUUGUAAAGCACUUUAAGUUGGGAGGAAGGGCAGUAAGUUAAUACCUUGCUGUUUUGACGUUACCAACAGAAUAAGCACCGGCUAACUUCGUGCCAGCAGCCGCGGUAAUACGAAGGGUGCAAGCGUUAAUCGGAAUUACUGGGCGUAAAGCGCGCGUAGGUGGUUCGUUAAGUUGGAUGUGAAAGCCCCGGGCUCAACCUGGGAACUGCAUCCAAAACUGGCGAGCUAGAGUAUGGCAGAGGGUGGUGGAAUUUCCUGUGUAGCGGUGAAAUGCGUAGAUAUAGGAAGGAACACCAGUG
This 617-nucleotide ribosomal RNA is filed under the name Stutzerimonas stutzeri. RNAcentral describes it as "bacterial SSU rRNA". It matches the Rfam family "Bacterial small subunit ribosomal RNA", at positions 100 to 714 of the family's 1533-position model. RNAcentral also lists the same sequence under 1 other name. Lineage: Bacteria; Pseudomonadati; Pseudomonadota; Gammaproteobacteria; Pseudomonadales; Pseudomonadaceae. The record is from RNAcentral.